Molecule: ribosomal RNA, 560 nt
Filed under: Bacillus sp. (in: firmicutes)
Lineage: Bacteria; Bacillati; Bacillota; Bacilli; Caryophanales; Bacillaceae
Description: bacterial SSU rRNA
Rfam family: Bacterial small subunit ribosomal RNA
Source: RNAcentral
AGCUUGCUCUUAUGAAGUUAGCGGCGGACGGGUGAGUAACACGUGGGUAACCUGCCCAUAAGACUGGGAUAACUCCGGGUAAACCGGGGCUAAUACCGGAUAACAUUUUGAACCGCAUGGUUCGAAAUUGAAAGGCGGCUUCGGCUGUCACUUAUGGAUGGACCCGCGUCGCAUUAGCUAGUUGGUGAGGUAACGGCUCACCAAGGCAACGAUGCGUAGCCGACCUGAGAGGGUGAUCGGCCACACUGGGCACUGACACACGGCCCAGACUCCUACGGGAGGCAGCAGUAGGGAAUCUUCCGCAAUGGACGAAAGUCUGACGGAGCAACGCCGCGUGAGUGAUGAAGGCUUUCGGGUCGUAAAACUCUGUUGUUAGGGAAGAACAAGUGCUAGUUGAAUAAGCUGGCACCUUGACGGUACCUAACCAGAAAGCCACGGCUAACUACGUGCCAGCAGCCGCGGUAAUACGUAGGUGGCAAGCGUUAUCCGGAAUUAUUGCGCGUAUAGCGCGCGCACGUGGUUUCUUAUGUCUGAUGUGAAAGCCCACGGCUCAACCGUGG